This is a non-coding RNA of Mycena vitilis, 93 nucleotides long. NCBI's taxonomy places the organism in Eukaryota, Fungi, Basidiomycota, Agaricomycetes, Agaricales, Mycenaceae. The record is from the annotation of a GenBank genome assembly.
GACCUGCUGGUGUAAUGGUUACACGCCUGCGUAGUCUAAUUGAAAACGGUCCAAUCUGUGCAGGAGUUCCUCGUUCGAAUCGAGGGCAGGUCU